AAAGCUGGGGGCCCGCAACAGGUGAGCGCUCAGUUCUGCUCUUGUGGCCAGAGCUUACAGUACGCGGAACGGGAACACUUGAGAACGGAACAGGUCAGAGCACCGCCAGCAGCCUGAGCGCGCCUUUAAGCCAAGCUGAGCCGAGCCGAGCUUUCGGCUCUGAAUAAUUUGUGUGAGAGUGGUUUUUGUUGCUGGGUGUGCCGCAGCAGUGCGACGUGAACGGGCGAGCGGCCAACACGUAAGCGGCGCGUUGUGCAGUGGAAACGAAAGAGUGAGAGAAACAGACGACAAUAAGCAGCAGCAGCAACAGCAGCAACUCAGGUGUGAAUUGAUAUUGAGGUUAUGUAAGCGUCAGGCCAUAAAAACGCGCAUACAAAACGCUGCUGCAUUGGCCAGGCCACACGUUUGCCAAUAAUUCAAGACACGCGCCUUGCCCCGAUCCACUCCGCACCCCUUCAGCUGGAGAGAUUCGCAUUCCAAAUGGACGACUCCAAGGCGCAGCCGCAGCAGCAGCAGCAGCAAACCCAUCCUUUGGAAGAUGUGUCCCUCAAUGAGAAUGAUGACGACAAACAGACGCCCAAAAAUUGGGUUAAAUUCGAUGAUGAGGCAGACGGCAGUGAAAAAAAUAAUAACAGUAACGGCAGCGAUGCCACACAACAGCAGCAACAAGAACAGCAGCCGCCGCAGCCGCAGCAGCGGCAAAACAAGUUAGCUCUGCCGCCGCCGCCGUCGGUUGUGAGCAGCAACAACAACAGGCGGGCGCGCUCGCGCAGUCCGAAUCAACUAUCGACAACAACAACAACACCUGUCCAGCGCCCAGCCGUUUCCUCGACAACAGCUGCGUCCCCAGCCCCAGUCCCGGCACCAGGCACAGCCGCAGCCUCGUCGCCGGAUGUGGCGCCCGCUGUUUUGACAACUGAGAGUACGCACGUUAAUCUGAAUGCAUCCGGCAGUGGCAUUGUCAGUGGCAACGUUGCCAGCGGGGCGAGCGGCUCCACCCCGGCCCGACACCCCCAGCAGCUAAUAAACCAAAAAGCAACGGUAGCCUCAGCCUCCUCCGUCCAGGCUCCAGCCUCGUCCUCCAGCCACCAUAACGGCAACGGGGCCCAUGGCAGCAGCAGCACCAGCAUACCCAUGGAUCAGGGCUCCGGCAUGCGCACAAUUGAACUGUCAACGGGUCGCAUCCGUGAGGGAUUUGCGAAUGGCGAUGUGAUUGUCACACUGCUUCCGGCCAACACCAAAUGGCCUUGGAUUACGCCCGCAAUAUUUCGUCCGGAGCUGGUGCCGGAGGAGUUGAUGGCCCAGGGUCUGACGCUUACAGUGGAGGACUAUGUGAAUGCGAUGGAGACGCUGGUGAAUGAUUACCGCUUCACCGUGUACAACAUUUGCUACAAGCGCAUCCUCGUCUGCUGGAUCCUGUUCGCCUUCACCGUGCUGCUGGCGUUGCUGUUCUCGGGCCUGCAGGGCGUGGCCCUGUUCGCACUGGGCGUGGGCUGGUUAUUCUUGAAUGCGGCGGCCAUAUUCCUGUGUAUGUGGGUGAAACUGCGGCUGUCGCGCGGCCUGGAGAAGUGCCUGGCCCGGGUCAACAAGCAGCUGAUGCGUCACAAAAUACUCCUGGUGCUGGAUGACCGAGGCCGCAUCUCGUGCCACAAGGUCAACCUCUGCUUCAUGUACUUCGAUGCCACGCAGUGCGUGAGCUUCCUCAACGAGUUCCUGGAGCACACGGAGCAAAACGGCGGCGAGGCCAUCAAGGCGGGCUGGGAGGCCAAGCUGGACAUUGAUCUGAACGAUAUUGUCAUUCAGGGCAGUCAGCCAGUGAGGAUGCCGCGUAAGCAGGAGCGCGGACUGCAGCUGUUUCUGCGCUACGGCUCCCGUUGGGGCAUGGAGGCGCUGCGGGGCCUGGUGGACGUCACGCCCCUCGAGCCGGGCCGCCACUGCGGGCAGUUUCAGUGCCCCUGCCAGUACAUCAAAGAGCACUUGCAGUGCAAACCGCGAGCUGGCAGACGUUUGUAUCUAUGCUGAUGGCUGAUGGCUGGUGUCUGGUGGCUGAUGGCCGAUGCGGCUAUUAUAUGUAUGAUGGAAAGCGUCAACUAUCUUAUUUGUGGCCUUGGAAUUCUGUCUGUCAUGUGUUCUCCUGCGCUCGACACUUUUUAAUUGUUUUUGAUAAGAGUGACUGCAAAGUUAAAUUACAUUUACCAUCAAGGCAGUCCGUGCUUUCGUUUGUCAACCGAGUGUUGCUACGCAGAAGGACGCCUGCCGAUCCCUGAGUCCAUUGUGAUAUGCGGAUUUCGAGGAAAGCAUAAGAUAUCCAGUCCCGAAUGUGGCAAGCUUGAUGUUGCCAUCGGUCUCGCCCAGGGAGUUUUUCGCCACGCAGCGAUAGGUGCCAAAAUCGUUGGGUCCGACGGCGCGGAUUUUUAACUUCAUGUAUUUCGUGUAACCGCUGACUGUGGAUGUGGUCUCGUAUUUAUCGCCGGCCCGCGAUGUGUCUGAAAAUAUGCGAAAUGCUGAAAAUUCAAGCUGUCAGUCUGUAAACGGAGUGUGUGCCACAAAUUAAAGUGACAAUUUUUCUGCAACGCCAAGAGCAGCUCCGAAAAUCUGUAUGGCAAAAAAUCAAUUAAUUAAUGUCACCUGCACGGACUGGCUGACGACUAGCUGUUGUUGCGAGUCCUGCUUAUGUGCAGUGAAGCGGAGCGCGUUCUCAGUAGAGACUCCAACUAAUUACGCCUCUUCCUUGGGACCCCCUGUGCUGGGUACUGGGUGUAUGUGUAAUUAAAACUGGCGCAGUUCUUCAACCAUUUCCAUUGGCAUCGCCAUCGCCAACUAAAACUUUUCUCAUUAAUCAGUGAAAAUCUAAAAGAAAACUUUUGUUCUCUCUGCCGGCAUUCCGGCUGCGGCUUUAAUUUCGUUUCGUUUCAUUCCGUAUUGUGUUGCCUACUUUCUGGGGCUGGAGCUGGGACUGGAGCUGGGGCUGGGCCUGGGACUACGACUACGACUACUACUACGACUACGAUAUCAAAUGGCUGCCACAGGUUAAUUGGCGGAACUGUUCGUUCACACCCACGGAAUAUAAUGUUAGCAACCCCCCAUUCAUACGCCGCCGGCUCGAACGCUGGGCUUCAGCUUGGAGACUCAGGACUUAUGUACCCUACGAUUUGCCACAAAUCGAGUCGUAUCCGAUUUCCCCCCGCCAGUCGGAGUCCUAUCCAAGCAUUACCGAGGCGUAAUCGAGACAGACCGAGUCCUAUACCAGCCAGAAAGAAUCGUAUCCCAGCAAGACAGAAGUGCAUCCCUAGCACGAACCUAACCAAGCCAUCGUCAUCCUUCAACCUGGCUAAGGACAGCAAGGACUUUUUUACGCUCUCUACUAGUCUUAAGAUAGAUAUCGUUGUUGAUAGGUUUAAGGAUAUAAGCGAUCAUACAUAAAUGUUUUCAACCUUUUUAUUUGCUUAUAUUAAGUUAAGUUAUGAUAAAUAAAAAUAUUGAAAAAUAA
RNA transcript from Drosophila pseudoobscura, 3490 nucleotides. RefSeq lists it as uncharacterized. The record is from RefSeq and is a predicted model, not a curated record. NCBI's taxonomy places the organism in Eukaryota, Metazoa, Arthropoda, Insecta, Diptera, Drosophilidae. The transcript is spliced from 10 exons.